GAUGAACGCUAGCGACAGGCCUAACACAUGCAAGGUCGAGGGGCAUCGGGACGUAGCAAUACGUUGCCGGCGACCGGCGGAUGGGUGAGUAACGCGUAUGCAACCUACCCGUAGCAGGGGGAUAGCCCGUUGAAAGACGGAUUAAUACCCCGUAACACAGGGGCUCCGCAUGGAGAUUAUUGUUAAAGGGUCAUUUCUUUUAGAGGUGGUCCGGCUGCGGAUGGGCAUGCGUUCCAUUAGGUAGUUGGUGUAGGUAACGGCUCACCAAGCCGACGAUGGAUAGGGGAACUGAGAGGUUGGUCCCCCACACUGGUACUGAGACACGGACCAGACUCCUACGGGAGGCAGCAGUGAGGAAUCUUGGUCAAUGGACGCAAGUCUGAACCAGCCAUGUCGCGUGAAGGAGGACGGCCCUAAGGGUUGUAAACUUCUUUUGCAGCGGAAUAAAGUUUGCCACGAGUUGGCGAUUUGCAAGUACGCUGCGAAUAAGGAUCGGCUAACUCCGUG
RNAcentral lists this ribosomal RNA (507 nucleotides) under uncultured bacterium. RNAcentral's name for it is "bacterial SSU rRNA". It matches the Rfam family "Bacterial small subunit ribosomal RNA", at positions 28 to 507 of the family's 1533-position model. The record is from RNAcentral.